GCUGCAAGUUUGAGGCCAGCCUGGGCUACACACUGAAAAAUGUCACUUCCAUGAAGGCCAAGACUGAGGCUGUCAUGAUCUCUACAUCUCUGCCACAGUGCCCUGUCCUAGGAGACCCUCAUGAAUAUGCUAAGGGAUAAAAAGGAGGGCCUGAGCACUGAAUGAGGUGCUCAGCCCCUACAUUUUUUCCCUGAUAUGAGUAAUACAUAUUGAAUGCAGUGAAAAUUUGAAAAUACAUAUGAGCAAAAAGAAGAAAAUAUAAAUACAUAUGAUCCAACCAACCACCAUGUGGAUCCCCUUCCAAAUGUUCUUUUAUGUAUCUAGAGAAAGAGAACACAUCUUUUCAUAAAAAUGGCUCCCAUAUCUGAAUAGUAAUCUGCUGCGUUCCACCUGCCAGUGCGUCUUGGUCACCUUUCCUUAAUAUAGGACUUUAGCUACAUCAUUGUUAAAGGCCAUAUAAUACUCUGCUGAGGAUUCACACCAGGAAGUAUUUGAGGAAGCAAGUUACAGUCAAGCCAAAGGGAAGGUUUCUUCAACGUCAACAAAGCACAAGGAUCACUGUUACUACAAGGACGGACCAAACAGGAACACGGGAAACUGCCAACACGCAAACUGCAGUUCCAUACAGUUCAACUUAAUGUGAAAAAACUUGGCAAAACUUUAAUGUUUGGCAAACUUCUAAAUAAAUGUGUUGGUGAUCCUGAGGGGCUUCGACAUGUGCCAUUGGACUAUUCAAACUUGGAAUGCUGUAGAUCACAGAGGCUGCGAAUCAGUCAGGCCUCAGUGUUAAGCCCUGGAUUUUCUCAUUGGAAAGGAAGAAAGCGAUGGUCCUCCUUGUCAGAAGAAAAAAAUUAUUUCAUCGAAAUCACUUAGCACACUACCUGGGCAAAUGUAAGCACUCAAUAAAUAUUAGCUUUAUCAUUUUAUUAUCAGUAAACUUGCUACUCUCAUUAAGAUGGUAUUUGAAUAAAGCUUCUCAUUGCAGCACUAUUUAGAACAAAAAC
Long non-coding RNA from Fukomys damarensis (Damara mole-rat), 1004 nucleotides. RefSeq lists it as uncharacterized. The record is from RefSeq and is a predicted model, not a curated record. Lineage: Eukaryota; Metazoa; Chordata; Mammalia; Rodentia; Bathyergidae. The transcript has 3 exons.